AAGAACCGGUCACUGUCAUUACCUGCUCGUUCGGAUAUGGGAAUACCGGUGUUGA
Molecule: small RNA, 55 nt
Filed under: uncultured Limosilactobacillus sp.
Lineage: Bacteria; Bacillati; Bacillota; Bacilli; Lactobacillales; Lactobacillaceae
Description: Transposase-1 RNA
Rfam family: Transposase-1 RNA
About the family: Lactobacillales (Firmicutes). Environment (Human Microbiome Project, vagina)
Source: RNAcentral